RNAcentral lists this ribosomal RNA (464 nucleotides) under Neisseria arctica. RNAcentral describes it as "bacterial SSU rRNA". It matches the Rfam family "Bacterial small subunit ribosomal RNA", at positions 21 to 474 of the family's 1533-position model. Lineage: Bacteria; Pseudomonadati; Pseudomonadota; Betaproteobacteria; Neisseriales; Neisseriaceae. The record is from RNAcentral. RNAcentral also lists the same sequence under 1 other name.
GGCUCAGAUUGAACGCUGGCGGCAUGCUUUACACAUGCAAGUCGAACGGCAGCACGAAAGAGCUUGCUCUUUUGGUGGCGAGUGGCGAACGGGUGAGUAAUACAUUGGAACGUACCGAGUAAUGGGGGAUAACUGUCCGAAAGGAUGGCUAAUACCGCAUACGCUCUGAGGAGGAAAGCGGGGGACCUUCGGGCCUCGCGUUAUUCGAGCGGCCAAUGUCUGAUUAGCUAGUUGGUGGGGUAAAGGCCUACCAAGGCGACGAUCAGUAGUGGGUCUGAGAGGAUGAUCCGCCACACUGGGACUGAGACACGGCCCAGACUCCUACGGGAGGCAGCAGUGGGGAAUUUUGGACAAUGGGCGAAAGCCUGAUCCAGCCAUGCCGCGUGUCUGAAGAAGGCCUUCGGGUUGUAAAGGACUUUUGUCAGGGAAGAAAGGGUUUGGGUUAAUACCCUGAGCUUAUGACG